UACGAAGGGGGCGAGCGUUGUUCGGAUUUACUGGGCGUAAAGGGCGCGCAGGCGGCUAUCCAAGUCAGGCGUGAAAGCCCCGGGCUUAACCUGGGAGGUGCGUCUGGGACUGGGUGGCUAGAGUUCGGGAGAGGAGAGUGGAAUUCCCAGUGUAGAGGUGAAAUUCGUAGAUAUUGGGAAGAACACCUGUGGCGAAGGCGGCUCUCUGGACCGAGACUGACGCUGAGGCGCGAAAGCCAGGGGAGCAAACGGG
This 253-nucleotide ribosomal RNA is filed under the name uncultured bacterium. RNAcentral describes it as "partial 16S ribosomal RNA". It matches the Rfam family "Bacterial small subunit ribosomal RNA", at positions 524 to 776 of the family's 1533-position model. The record is from RNAcentral.